Molecule: non-coding RNA, 819 nt
Organism: Phascolarctos cinereus (koala)
Lineage: Eukaryota; Metazoa; Chordata; Mammalia; Diprotodontia; Phascolarctidae
Source: RefSeq, a predicted model, not a curated record
GGGGGAGAAGUGAUAUGCAGUCAGAUACUCCUGACCACUGGGAAAGUAUAAACUCUACAUCUGAAUUUUAUCAUACUCUCCAGGGAUCUUGAAUUAGGCCAAUCUAGACAAUCAACAAAACAAUAAAGCAAGCCUUGAUUUAUUGCCAAUUUGCCAAUUUACAAGGAGUAAAUGCUGACACUGAAGAGGUUUAAGCUGGCUCCAGCACACUCCUGCAGACUUGUAAUCUUUCCUGUGUACACUGUGUAAGAGGCUAGGAAUGCACGUCUAACAGGUGCUGACUACCUAAAUUUCACAUACUAGUGCCUACACAGGAAAUCUAUACUAGAUGGUCCAAAACGGCAGCUACGCCUCCGGGCUUGUUUUCACUUGAGAAUUAUUUCCAUCAUUUGAUAAAGAAGUGGGAGUGGACUACCUGGCCAUGUACAUGUAGUCGACGGGUGAAAGCGACACCAGAAACGAUUUCUUGGAGAAAGCACAAGAAAAACAGGCAGAGGGGAAGAAAAGAGUAGUCGGUGUACUAAAAGAAGCACGCGAGUCCACGGCAAACGCAGAGUGGAGGCUAACUUCAAUGCUGUCCUAAAAGUGAGAUGCACAACCAAAUGACUGCGCAACUUUAGCACGAACACAUCAGCCUGGGACUUUCCAAAAGUCACAGAGAAAAGCAACUGAGGGAGUAGCGUGGAGCAAGGAAGCCGACGGAGGGAGGGAAGAGAAGGAAGCACACCGGACAAGGGUCUGGAGCAGAGGACUGCUCCUCCACUUAAGCCCCCCUAGUUUCUCUCCAACGCUGGCUGGGGGAUGGAAGGGGACGGCUCA